RNAcentral lists this ribosomal RNA (465 nucleotides) under uncultured bacterium. RNAcentral describes it as "partial 16S ribosomal RNA". It matches the Rfam family "Bacterial small subunit ribosomal RNA", at positions 28 to 507 of the family's 1533-position model. The record is from RNAcentral.
GACGAACGCUGGCGGCGUGCUUAACACAUGCAAGUCGAGCGGAAAGGCCCUGCUUGCAGGGUACUCGAGUGGCGAACGGGUGAGUAACACGUGGGUGAUCUGCCCUGCACUUCGGGAUAAGCCUGGGAAACUGGGUCUAAUACCGGAUAGGAGCCAUUUUUAGUGUGAUGGUUGGAAAGUUUUUUCGGUGUAGGAUGAGCUCGCGGCCUAUCAGCUUGUUGGUGGGGUAAUGGCCUACCAAGGCGGCGACGGGUAGCCGGCCUGAGAGGGUGGACGGCCACAUUGGGACUGAGAUACGGCCCAGACUCCUACGGGAGGCAGCAGUGGGGAAUAUUGCACAAUGGGCGCAAGCCUGAUGCAGCGACGCCGCGUGGGGGAUGACGGCCUUCGGGUUGUAAACUCCUUUCGCUAGGGACGAAGCUUUUUGUGACGGUACCUAGAGAAGAAGCACCGGCUAACUACGUG